This is a long non-coding RNA of Hyla sarda, 1192 nucleotides long. RefSeq lists it as uncharacterized. The record is from RefSeq and is a predicted model, not a curated record. NCBI's taxonomy places the organism in Eukaryota, Metazoa, Chordata, Amphibia, Anura, Hylidae. The transcript has 3 exons.
UGGCCGCCGCUCCCUUAUAUGGGCAGGGGUGGGGCAAAUCUGAUUGGUCCGAACAUCUGUCAUUCACUGUUACACAGUGUGAUGGGAUUGACUACGUCACAAGGACCUCCAAAGGUCCUCAAGCAGAAAUACCAUAGAGUUCACCUAAUCACGUGACCUGCAGGUCUUGCUACGCUAUAGACAGAAAGCCCCAUGUACAGGCUGGCCUGGUGCGAUCGUCACAUCUACCUUGUGAGACCGGUUUCCUAAAGAGCCUUGGUGAAGAAAUACUGAGUAAUGGAAAUGUCUAAUGAUCUCGGAUGGGGUUCUGGACUUCAGCCAGGAUGGAGAAAGAGAGAGGAAGGUGGCCCCCUCACCAAAAUGAGAAAAAUGAAAAUUAUCGACCCACCCGAAUAAAUCCGUAUGAAUUGGAUACACUGCAUGGAGGCUGAACUUUCUCUGCAUGGGACAUAAAUUGGACUUUUAUUAUUUCCUUUAGAGACAUAGCAAUAGGUCCUUGAAUGUGAAUGGUAUGUAUGUGGGCACUUCUCCCAAUAGGUGCGACUGGCCGGUCCCCAAUAUGGCACCUCAGGUCACAAUAUGUUUGAUUCCCGUCCGGGAGUCACACAACGGACAUGAGCAAUUGCAUGAAUAUGGACCUAGCAAAAGGAACAAGAAACAAGACUUUCCAUAUUCAAAUAUGGCGCUGGUGGACACCCGCAUUAAACACACGCAUGCGCAAGAUACAGACAGCUCCGGCUUUACCUUGAUACAUUGUGCGCUUGCGCAACGAAUAUUUGUAUACAAAUGCGCAUGUCCAGAACGUGCACUAACCUGGCGCAGUAUGCGCCUACGUAAUUGCAGAGUGAACGAGAUGAUCACAUGACCGGAAUACUCCGUCCGGCGACUCCAUGCAGAGAAACGGAAGCAGCCAUGGCGUCCCUCCUGGGUUUUGUUUACAUGACAGAAUUAUGAAUUGGUGAGUCGGCAGCAACAAGACCUCCCUCAGCUCCUCCCUCUGAAGUGUAAUUCUGUUUUAAUAUGCACUGUAUGCACUGCACUUUAUAUUAGAUACACUGGCGCUGUAUAUGAUAUCGCCCUUAUGGCGUCUUAGAGUGGUUUUUAUUCACAGGAAAAUGAUGGAUUUUUUAUGAUCACUGCUAUUGUGUAUUGUUUUGAUAUGGUAAUCGAAUUAAUUAUGUUAAAUUUUGCA